UACGGAGGGGACUAGCGUUGUUCGGAAUUACUGGGCGUAAAGCGCACGUAGGCGGCUUUGUAAGUCAGGGGUGAAAUCCCGAGGCUCAACCUCGGAACUGCCUUUGAUACUGCAAAUCUCGAGUCCGGAAGAGGUGAGUGGAAUUCCUAGUGUAGAGGUGAAAUUCGUAGAUAUUAGGAAGAACACCAGUGGCGAAGGCGGCUCACUGGUCCGGUACUGACGCUGAAGCGCGACAGCGUGGGGAGCGAACGGG
RNAcentral lists this ribosomal RNA (253 nucleotides) under uncultured bacterium. Its description in RNAcentral is "partial 16S ribosomal RNA". It matches the Rfam family "Bacterial small subunit ribosomal RNA", at positions 524 to 776 of the family's 1533-position model. The record is from RNAcentral.